This 225-nucleotide ribosomal RNA is filed under the name Triticum aestivum (bread wheat). RNAcentral describes it as "partial small subunit ribosomal RNA". The record is from RNAcentral. Lineage: Eukaryota; Viridiplantae; Streptophyta; Magnoliopsida; Poales; Poaceae.
AUGGAUGGAAAUGCAGCAGCUGAUGGGGGUGAGCCAACCUACGAUCCAAUGAAAGAUCCAACAAGGAAGCCACAACGGUCAAAUGAUCCGGGAUGAAACUAUGGAUAUUGGUCUGAGCCUCCAAAUCGGGAUGUUGUUGUGUGCGCUCUUUGUGGCAAGAUAACUUCUGGAGGGAUCAAGAGGCAUAAAGAGCAUCUUGCGGGCGUCGGAGGAGAUGCAAUUGGU